This 74-nucleotide transfer RNA is filed under the name Marmota monax (woodchuck). RNAcentral describes it as "tRNA.Ala". The record is from RNAcentral. Lineage: Eukaryota; Metazoa; Chordata; Mammalia; Rodentia; Sciuridae.
GCGGGGGUUAUGGCUCAAUGGUAGAGCACUUGCCUAGCAUGUGUGAGAUACUGGGUUUGAUUCUCAGCACUGCA